Molecule: long non-coding RNA, 804 nt
Organism: Drosophila sechellia
Lineage: Eukaryota; Metazoa; Arthropoda; Insecta; Diptera; Drosophilidae
Exons: 2
Source: RefSeq, a predicted model, not a curated record
CCCCAGCCGCUCUCACCAACACUCGCAAAUCGCCGGAGAGAGCGUGUGUUGUAUCGCGUGAGUUCCAAUUCCGCUAUCAGUCAAACCGAACACGCUGGCACUCACAGAUACUCCGCACGCAUCUGUGUGUGUGUGCUUCGAUGUGGAUUUCUCUCUGGGUGAACCGGCGAACGAACGGGAGUAAGUAAACAACACCAAGACCAGCACAUGGUUAUCAGUUCAGGCCAAGUGGUUACCGCCAGCCGCUCCGCGGACCUCGUAUUUCUGGGUAUUGUGCCUGCAGCGCGCUGUAACAUUAGUCACAGAUCGUUUGCUCAGCUUCUCUCUCUCUCCUGAAACAGAGAGAGGGAGAGAGAGUGCACCCUCUCGUCGGCGAAUCUGGUAUCGUCCAGAUACAAAUUCCGACUAGACGAGGCAUGAAUGGACUGCAACCUGCGGAAUCCUAGCGCCCGACACUUCAGACUUUGAUUUUCGACUAAGUAAAUGAGCCGACCACCGGCGAUCCGCACUCCACAACCCACUUCUGCCCACAUUUCCCCAGGAAACGCUCUGCAAAUUCAUUCUGAUUCUGGCAAUUGACGCAGUGAUGGCGGCCUGGCGGCGGGGCAGGCACAUGAGUCAGGGGCCAAUGACGACAGCCGCUGGCUGAUAAGGCUCCACUCCCGUUUCCGAUUUUACACACAAAGAAACAUUUAGUUUUAGGAUUUUCCGGGAGCAAAUGAAAGAUGAAGUGAUUUCCCAGAGAAUCUUUUUUGUACACCAUCAUUGCUUGAUAGGAUAUCUGAAUAAAAUAAAUAUACAGUA